Scatophagus argus is the source of this 2449-nucleotide long non-coding RNA. RefSeq lists it as uncharacterized. The record is from RefSeq and is a predicted model, not a curated record. The transcript is spliced from 3 exons. Lineage: Eukaryota; Metazoa; Chordata; Actinopteri; Scatophagidae.
UUGCCAUUUUGUCGUUUUUGGAUAGUGAACAUUACAGAGGCAGACAGGAAACACAGAGACUGAAGGAGAGGGGUGUGACAACAGGUUUCACCCUCUAAUUGAGAUCACUGUUCUUAAGAAAACCCGAGAACAUGCUUCAGGCUUCAAGGAGAAGGGAAAAAAGCUCACUGAGGAAUGAGAAAGCUCACUAAUAAAUACGUGAUCACAGGGACAUUAUGUGCAACUUAUGUGCGAGUGAACAGGCUGCUCGCCAAAGUUUCAUGUAUUUCCCAAAAUGCUGCAACACAUUUGCUAAUAAGGUCGGUAUUUUGUAAUCAUAGCGUUUACUAUACCAGCAAUACCUGUGAGGCCAGUUUUACGCCCUGAUUUUCUGAAAUCAUCAGUGGUGUGUGAGGAUAAGUUUCCUCAUGUUAUAUUUCCUUAGGCUCAUCUGACUCCUGUCUCACUUGUGAACUAGUUAGGCUUUUCAUUUCCUUCACUUCUCAUGCUCUGAGCCCACAUUUCUCCCUGCUCCCACAGUGCUAAGCCCAGGGCUCAACACAGAUACACACCACAUGGCUCCCUGCAUGUUAUCUGCACGCAAACUACAGUAACACUGGCAAGAAAAAGAGGACGAGGAGGAAGAGCACAGUGAGAGGGAUAGAAGCUCACCUCCCAGUGGCUGAGAGGGCUGAGGAGGGUCGGGCCUGGAGGCUGCUUCUCUUCCACCGACUGAGCCAAGAGCAACAGGGCCAAUCGUACAAUCAUCUGGAGCAGAAGAGUGGAGACAACUACAGGGGCUCUAAGAGGAAGAUCCAUCAGUCCGUUUCCAGCUUUAUAUUGGCUUGCUAUUUGCCAAAUUUAUUGAUCAAUAACUCAUCUCUUACUGGAUCUUGUGCGGCUGGAACAUUAUCAUUGCAGUGUAUCAUUGCUGCUUGGCUGGCCUCUGUGUAAACCCUGGGCUCGUUCAGCAGCCCUGCUUACUCUCACCCUCGGCCUCCCAGUCGCUCAGCUCGCCUCCGGAAAGUUCUCCUCGCUCUGAGCGCUGGCAUCGGGAGUUGAAUCCAUGUAUGUGUUUAUGGAGUUCUGACAAAUUCCUUCCUCCUUGCUUUCUCUGUUGCGUUGCAGACUUGACAUGCAAGCAUUAUAUUUAAUCCUUCAUUCCUGGUGCAGGCAGGGGCAGUGUGGUGGAAGAGCUAUGGGGCCUGAAGCUGGAGCUAUGGCCUCUGUGGUGGCUGGUGCACCAUUAUGGAGGCAGCAGUACAGGCGAGCAAUGGGUUCAGAUGGGCCUUGUGGUAGAGCUAUGGGAUAUGUGGCUGAGGCGUAUUUUCUUAUGGCUGGGUACAGCCUGGGUCAUUGCCAUUGGGAAUACUGGUCAUUCUUGAAUUGGUUGAAUUGUGAAUAAGAUACUCCAGUCCACUGAUUAUUAGGUUCUCCAGUAGAUAAAGAAAAUCAAAUGGGAAUGUGCCCGCUUUUCUGUUAAUUAGACCCAGUUGUACCAAGCCACAUUACUGCUGAAGUCAAACAUAAAAAUGCAUAGGAGGUAACCACUCAUAUGGUAUACCACAUGCGGUGCUAUAAUUAUAAAUCAGUCCCGUAACAACCCUGUUAUGGUAGACAGUGCCUUCAGCCUGGGGCCAAAUUAAAGAUACAAAGAAACACAGAGUACUACAUGAGCCUCAGUAUGUUUCAAACAAAGUGCUUACUCGAUCAUCUGAAACUCCAUUUCCAGUGGAUGAGUGGAAAUGUGACUUUUGCAAGACAGACAAUCCGACAAGCUCGCUCACUCAAGGAACAACUGAUCAGGUGUGGAGAGGUUGGCAUGGUUUGCCUUUCUCUCUCAAGUUCUCUUUCUCUGAUUGCUCAGAAAAAGCUUUCGAGGAGAUACAGUCUGAAAGCAUGUGCUCUUAUCCUCACUUGUGCUGUUCAUCACAUGGAUACCUCAGACACAUGCAAAAGAUGCAGCCUUCCUUUAAGUGUGGACAUCUGAAUCUAGAAUAUCAUACAACCUAGUUUCUUUAAAGCAUGCUGAGACCUUGAGUUCAAAGCCGUGCCAGCAGCAAAGUGGUUUAAACCUGCAGUGAUGGAUUUUGUGGCCACUAGCUAUGCAGCACAACAAGCGGUAAACACAACACAAACAGCAGCCUAUUUACACAUUCAGCAACAUUAGAGUUCAUGAAAGUAAGGAUUCUCAAUUUUUUUUUCUUACCUGCCUUUUGAUUUCCACCAACUAGUCAGGGAAAUCUCUGGACUUACCUGCUGAAUGCGUCCCCAUGUUAACCAGCCAUUUGCUAAUUUUGCCUACUGUUUGAGCAGGCAGUGUACAGUGCAUUUGACACUGAUUAGACCAGUGAGUCGCAGGCUUGAAAAGCUAUACAGCUGAGAUGUCAUAAAGCUCUGUCGAACUGAGGGGAACAGCAUUUCACAUUACUCACAGUCAUCUGACUCACUGUAAUGUACAACAGAACAG